AACGCUAGCUACAGGCUUAACACAUGCAAGUCGAGGGGCAGCAGGAGCAAAGCUUGCUUUGCUUGCUGGGCGACCGGCGGCACGGGUGCGUAACGCGUAUCGAACCUGCCCUAUACUCGGGGAUAGCCUUGCGAAGUAAGAUUAAUACCCGAUGUUGUUAUUACAUCGCAUGAUGUUUUAACCAAAGAUUCAUCGGUAUAGGAUGGCGAUGCGUGACAUUAGGUAGUAGGUGAGGUAACGGCUCACCUAGCCUACGAUGUCUAGGGGUUCUGAGAGGAAGGUCCCCCACACUGGAACUGAGACACGGUCCAGACUCCUACGGGAGGCAGCAGUGAGGAGUAUUGGUCAAUGGACGCAAGUCUGAACCAGCCAUGCCGCGUGCAGGAUGACGGCUCUACGAGUUGUAAACUGCUUUUGUAUGAGGGUAAACUUAGAUACGUGUAUCUAACUGAAAGUAUCAUACGAAUAAGGAUCGGCUAACUCCGUG
Molecule: ribosomal RNA, 487 nt
Filed under: uncultured bacterium
Lineage: Bacteria
Description: bacterial SSU rRNA
Rfam family: Bacterial small subunit ribosomal RNA
Source: RNAcentral